This is an RNA transcript of Cercocebus atys (sooty mangabey), 749 nucleotides long. It is a transcript of the gene named cell division control protein 42 homolog pseudogene, with no coding region annotated. Lineage: Eukaryota; Metazoa; Chordata; Mammalia; Primates; Cercopithecidae. The transcript has a single exon. The record is from RefSeq and is a predicted model, not a curated record.
GCUGCCAACGCCCCGGUGGAGAAGCUGAGGUCAACAUCAGAUUUGAAAUAUUUAAAGUGGAUACAAAACUAUUUCAGCAAUGCAGACAAUUAAGUGUGUUGUUGUGGGCGAUGGUGCUGUUGGUAAAACAUGUCUCCUGAUAUCCUACACAACAAACAAAUUUCCAUCGGAAUAUGUACCAACUGUUUUUGACAACUAUGCAGUCACAGUUAUGAUUGGUGGAGAACCAUAUACUCUUGGACUUUUUGAUACUGCAGGGCAAGAGGAUUAUGACAGAUUACCACCGCUGAGUUAUCCACAAACAGAUGUAUUUCUAGUCUGUUUUUCAGUGGUCUCUCCAUCUUCAUUUGAAAAUGUGAAAGAAAAGUGGGUGCCUGAGAUAACUCACCACUGUCCAAAGACUCCUUUCUUGCUUGUUGGGACUCAAAUUGAUCUCAGAGAUGACCCCUCCACUAUUGAGAAACUUGCCAAGAACAAACAGAAGCCUAUCACUCCAGAGACUGCUGAAAAGCUGGCCCGUGACCUGAAGGCUGUCAAGUAUGUGGAGUGUUCUGCACUUACACAGAAAGGCCUAAAGAAUGUAUUUGACGAAGCAAUAUUGGCUGCCCUGGAGCCUCCAGAACCGAAGAAGAGCCGCAGGUGUGUGCUGCUAUGAACAUCUCUCCAGAGCCCUUUCUGCACAGCUGGUGUCGGCAUCAUACUAAAAGCAAUGUUUAAAUCAAACUAAAGAUUAAAAAUUAAAAUUCGUU